This 538-nucleotide long non-coding RNA is filed under the name Fukomys damarensis (Damara mole-rat). RNAcentral describes it as "lncRNA (ENSFDAG00000025406.1)". The record is from RNAcentral. Lineage: Eukaryota; Metazoa; Chordata; Mammalia; Rodentia; Bathyergidae.
AACUGGGAGGAGCUGCCAGCUAGUUGGAGAGCUUCAGAGGCCUUUAAAAGUCCAGCAGGGCUCUCUCUGUGGUGCGAACUGUCCCUCAUGCUUGCAUGCAGCCUUCUGUCCCUUCCACCGGCACCAUGCUCCGCAAGGCCUUGGUCCUCCUUUUUCUGUUGUGUGCCCUGGCUGUGGCCGCCCCCAUACUACAAUCAAUAUCAACCAAUGUUCUCAACGUAACUGUGGCAGCAGCCAUGGACCAAAAUUUCACCACUGGCGCACUGAAGACCACCAACCUGGGGACAACCACAGCCAGGUACCUGCGGAUCUCACCAGCCUUGGAAUAUGAUGGAAAUUCUCCAUGACCUGUGACAAUCAUCACUUUCUAAGAUUCUGGAGAAGCCCACACCCACUAUGCUACAUGAAAGAGCCUAAUCAUAGAAAACUGGUGAAAAAUGCGCUGUGCCCAGCAGAGGAGAAACAACAGGGAAACCAUCCUGGCUAGGUGGAUGGAGCUCCCAUCCUCUCUCAGAUGAGAGGCAUUUCUCUGCUUUGC